This 510-nucleotide ribosomal RNA is filed under the name uncultured bacterium. RNAcentral describes it as "partial 16S ribosomal RNA". It matches the Rfam family "Bacterial small subunit ribosomal RNA", at positions 28 to 507 of the family's 1533-position model. The record is from RNAcentral.
GACGAACGCUGGCGGCGUGCUUAACACAUGCAAGUCGAACGAAGAGCGAUGGAAGCUUGCUUCUAUCAAUCUUAGUGGCGAACGGGUGAGUAACGCGUAAUCAACCUGCCCUUCAGAGGGGGACAACAGUUGGAAACGACUGCUAAUACCGCAUACGAUCUAAUCUCGGCAUCGAGGAAAGAUGAAAGGUGGCCUCUAUUUAUAAGCUAUCACUGAAGGAGGGGAUUGCGUCUGAUUAGCUAGUUGGAGGGGUAACGGCCCACCAAGGCGAGGAUCAGUAGCCGGUCUGAGAGGAUGAACGGCCACAUUGGGACUGAGAAACGGCCCAGACUCCUACGGGAGGCAGCAGUGAGGAAUCUUCCGCAAUGGACGAAAGGCUGACGGAGCAACGCCGCGUGAGGGAUGACGGCCUUCGGGUUGUAAAGCUCUGUUAAUCGGGACGAAAGGCCUUCUUGCGAACAGUUAGAAGGAUUGACGGUACCGGAAUAGAAAGCCACGGCUAACUACGUG